This 750-nucleotide ribosomal RNA is filed under the name uncultured beta proteobacterium. Its description in RNAcentral is "bacterial SSU rRNA". It matches the Rfam family "Bacterial small subunit ribosomal RNA", at positions 92 to 837 of the family's 1533-position model. The record is from RNAcentral. Lineage: Bacteria; Pseudomonadati; Pseudomonadota; Betaproteobacteria.
CGAGUGGCGAACGGGUGAGUAAAGUAUCGGAACGUACCUUUCAGUGGGGGAUAACGUAGCGAAAGUUACGCUAAUACCGCAUAUUCUGUGAGCAGGAAAGCAGGGGAUCGCAAGACCUUGCGCUGAUUGAGCGGCCGAUAUCAGAUUAGCUAGUUGGUGAGGUAAAGGCUCACCAAGGCGACGAUCUGUAGCGGGUCUGAGAGGAUGAUCCGCCACACUGGAACUGAGACACGGUCCAGACUCCUACGGGAGGCAGCAGUGGGGAAUUUUGGACAAUGGGGGCAACCCUGAUCCAGCCAUGCCGCGUGAGUGAAGAAGGCCUUCGGGUUGUAAAGCUCUUUCAGCCGGGAAGAAAUCGCAUCAGCUAAUACCUGGUGUGGAUGACGGUACCGGAAUAAGAAGCACCGGCUAACUACGUGCCAGCAGCCGCGGUAAUACGUAGGGUGCGAGCGUUAAUCGGAAUUACUGGGCGUAAAGCGUGCGCAGGCGGUUUUGUAAGACAGGCGUGAAAUCCCCGGGCUCAACCUGGGAACUGCGUUUGUGACUGCAAGGCUAGAGUAUGGCAGAGGGGGGUGGAAUUCCACGUGUAGCAGUGAAAUGCGUAGAGAUGUGGAGGAACACCGAUGGCGAAGGCAGCCCCCUGGGCCAAUACUGACGCUCAUGCACGAAAGCGUGGGUAGCAAACAGGAUUAGAUACCCUGGUAGUCCACGCCCUAAACGAUGUCAACUAGGUGUUGGGUGGGUAAAACC